GCGGAAGGAUCAUUACCGAGUGAGGGCCCUCUGGGUCCAACCUCCCACCCAUGUUUAUUGUACCUUGUUGCUUCGGCGGGCCCGCCUCACGGCCGCCGGGGGGCUUCUGCCCUCUGGCCCGCGCCCGCCGAAGACACCAUUGAACACUGUCUGAAGAUUGCAGUCUGAGCAAUUAGCUAAAUAAGUUAAAACUUUCAACAACGGAUCUCUUGGUUCCGGCA
RNAcentral lists this unclassified non-coding RNA (221 nucleotides) under uncultured fungus. RNAcentral describes it as "partial contains 18S rRNA, ITS1, 5.8S rRNA". Lineage: Eukaryota; Fungi. The record is from RNAcentral.